Molecule: non-coding RNA, 95 nt
Organism: Solanum lycopersicum (tomato)
Lineage: Eukaryota; Viridiplantae; Streptophyta; Magnoliopsida; Solanales; Solanaceae
Source: Rfam
AGAGUCAAGUUGCAGCCAAGGAUGACUUGCCGGACCAAAAGUUGUGACCAUUUUCUAGUUCCGGCAAGUUGUUUUUGGCUAUAAGUUUGCUCUCU